RNAcentral lists this ribosomal RNA (279 nucleotides) under uncultured bacterium. RNAcentral's name for it is "partial 16S ribosomal RNA". It matches the Rfam family "Bacterial small subunit ribosomal RNA", at positions 506 to 784 of the family's 1533-position model. The record is from RNAcentral.
UGCCAGCCGCCGCGGUAAUACGGGGGGAGCAAGCGUUGUCCGGAAUUAUUGGGCGUAAAGGGUGCGUAGGCGGACUAGUAAGUCUGGUGUGAAAGUUUGCGGCUUAACCGUAAAAGGCCACUGGAUACUGUUAGUCUUGAAUCACAGAGGGGGUAGUGGAAUUCCAGGUGUAGCGGUGAAAUGCGUAGAGAUCUGGAGGAACACCGGUGGCGAAGGCGACUGCCUGGCUGUGAAUUGACGCUGAGGCACGAAAGCGUGGGUAGCAAACAGGAUUAGAUA